GAAGUCAGACAGACAGUCGCCGCGCUGCUGCGCAAGCAGGGGCGGGGAGGAAAGUCCGGGCUCCGCAGAGCAUGAUGCCGGCUAACGGCCGGGCGCCGUGAGGCGACGGAAAGUGGAACAGAGAGCUGAACCGCCGAUGGCUGACUUGUCAGCACAGGUAAGGGUGAAAAGGUGCGGUAAGAGCGCACCGCGGACGUGGCAACACGGACGGCAGGCUAAACCCCAUCAGGAGCAAGACCAAAUAGGGGGGCGUUAACGUGGCUCGCGUUGUCCCCGGGUAGGUUGCUUGAGACUGUCGGUAACGGCAGUACUAGAGGAAUGACUGUCCAACGACAGAACCCGGCUUAUCGGCUGACUUCCAAU
Aquitalea magnusonii is the source of this 363-nucleotide non-coding RNA. The record is from Rfam. Lineage: Bacteria; Pseudomonadati; Pseudomonadota; Betaproteobacteria; Neisseriales; Chromobacteriaceae.